RNAcentral lists this ribosomal RNA (253 nucleotides) under uncultured bacterium. Its description in RNAcentral is "partial 16S ribosomal RNA". It matches the Rfam family "Bacterial small subunit ribosomal RNA", at positions 524 to 776 of the family's 1533-position model. The record is from RNAcentral.
UACGUAGGGUGCAAGCGUUAAUCGGAAUUACUGGGCGUAAAGCGUGCGCAGGCGGCUUUGCAAGACAGAUGUGAAAUCCCCGGGCUUAACCUGGGAACUGCAUUUGUGACUGCAUGGCUGGAGUGCGGCAGAGGGGGAUGGAAUUCCGCGUGUAGCAGUGAAAUGCGUAGAUAUGCGGAGGAACACCGAUGGCGAAGGCAAUCCCCUGGGCCUGCACUGACGCUGAGGCGCGAAAGCGUGGGGAGCGAACAGG